CACAAUAACAUAUGAAGGCUGCACGCGGCUGCGCCCCUGGGCCAGUUGGCGGAGGCUGGAGUAUUUAUUACCCUUGUCUUUUGCGCACUUGUUGUUUCCUGGGCGGGUCCGCCCGCCACUAGGACCACAUCAUAAACCUUUUUUAUGCAGUUGUAGUCAGCGUCAGUACAACAAAUUAUUUA
This 182-nucleotide unclassified non-coding RNA is filed under the name uncultured Ascomycota. RNAcentral's name for it is "sequence contains ITS1". The record is from RNAcentral. Lineage: Eukaryota; Fungi; Ascomycota.